CUAAGCUGCACGGCACUUUAUCGGUAACCCCCCCUUAUAAAUCCGAGAAAUACAGUUCCUUUUUCACAAAUGUUCAAUCGAAUUCGAUUGCCAACGCGAACCCGAACGAGAUCACUCGGCCCGGGUGUCAGACUGCCAUUUCCAUGGCUGCCCCAGCUGGAAAAGAAAGGAAGAAACAUCUUGGGAGAAUCGAUGGUGGAGCCCGCACGUGGCGGGUUGGCAGUGGAGACAGGCUGAAGCGGCGUGUGGGAUUUGAGCAGAUAUUAGCGAGUAUUAUACAUCCAUUUAGAGUGUAUAUAUUCUUAUUUGGAAGCAUUUUGAUUGAUUUUUACUUAAAUAAAUGAAUAAUACUCAUUGAAUA
Punica granatum (pomegranate) is the source of this 361-nucleotide non-coding RNA. The record is from RefSeq and is a predicted model, not a curated record. Lineage: Eukaryota; Viridiplantae; Streptophyta; Magnoliopsida; Myrtales; Lythraceae.